Long non-coding RNA from Carya illinoinensis, 720 nucleotides. RefSeq lists it as uncharacterized. The record is from RefSeq and is a predicted model, not a curated record. The transcript has 2 exons. Lineage: Eukaryota; Viridiplantae; Streptophyta; Magnoliopsida; Fagales; Juglandaceae.
AGGCAGAGUGGGUAUCCUCGCUCAAAAGCUAAACAAGAGUAGCGUUACAUCUACCCAACAAACCGAACCAAAAAAGGGUGAAAAAGUUUUGACUCAAAACUAAUGAACGGUGGGAGCAAGUAAACUGGAUGAGAACAUAACGCGUCUUAUGCAUCAAGAAUACGCGUGGAGGAGGACUUGAUCAUUGGAACUGGCUACCACAAGAGCCUCUUCCUCUCCAGUCUCCAUCUUCUGUGGUUGUGAUUGGGCUCUCUCUCAUCUCCGCUCCUCUCCUCUCAUAGCCUUGUUCGGGUUGUGUUGCAGAGCUCGGGGUGACAUAAAACCAUAAGAGCCUAAAAAUGGGUUACAUUGUGGUGAUAUCACUGCCUGUGAUACUGUUCAUCUUGAUUGUAGCAUUGGCAUUUUACCUUCUUGGAAGGGCACAGGGUCGAAGCCAAGCAGCAAGAAUUCCGCAUUAUGGGCCUCCAGCACCUCCAUUACAUGCCCCGUCUCCACCCCAGGAUAAAUCAGCACAGGUCUAGAAUUAUGGUUCUUAUGUGCCUGUGACAAUUUGGGUCGUGGAAGUACAGAUCUCUCUAGUUGCAUUUUUGUGCUCAGAAUGGUUCUUAUGAGUUAUGUGUUUGUGUAAUGUCUAUUGCAAGAUGUAGAGAACGGUGACAAGAAGCUGAGUUUCUGUAACGUAUGUUUAUAUAUUGUAAAUGAAUGAAUUGGUUACAUAUA